GUGUCAGCAGCCGCGGUAAUACCGGCAGCACGAGUGAUGACCGCUAUUAUUGGGCCUAGAGCGUCCGUAGCUGGCCACGCAAGUUCGUCGGGAAAUCCACCCGCUUAACGGGUGGGCGUCCGGCGGAAACUGUGCGGCUUGGGACAGGAAGGCUCGAGGGGUACGUUCGGGGUAGGAGUGAAAUCCCGUAAUCCUGAACGGACCACCGAUGGCGAAAGCACCUCGAGAGGACUGAUCCGACAGUGAGGGACGAAAGCUGGGGUCUCGAACCGGAUUAGAAACCCCGGUAGUCC
RNAcentral lists this ribosomal RNA (293 nucleotides) under uncultured prokaryote. RNAcentral describes it as "partial 16S ribosomal RNA". It matches the Rfam family "Archaeal small subunit ribosomal RNA", at positions 455 to 747 of the family's 1478-position model. The record is from RNAcentral.